AAGCUAAUUGCUGCAUAUUUGGAAGGUUGAUCUAGCAUUGAAUGCAUCAGGUACUUUUUUUUUUUAGAGAGAAAGGUAGUAUGCUACCUGCUUCUUUCAUUAAAGAAAUGAAUUAAACUACAAGAGUGAGGUAGAGGAACCUCCGAACGAUACCAAAAUAAUAAUAAAAAUAAAAAAUAAAAAAUAAAAAAUGAAGAAGAAGAAAACAUUUAAAAAAAUAUAUUUAAAUUCCUUUAAAUUUUGGGGCAAGGAU
Molecule: long non-coding RNA, 253 nt
Filed under: Ananas comosus (pineapple)
Lineage: Eukaryota; Viridiplantae; Streptophyta; Magnoliopsida; Poales; Bromeliaceae
Description: long non-coding RNA (ACOM_LNC008129)
Source: RNAcentral